AAGGGAGAUCAGUGGACUAGAGGAGGAAGAUUAAGGAAGGAGGAGCUGUGAAAAAAAAAUGUGUAUAUAUAUACAUAGCAUAAUUUGGUCAAUUUUUUUCACAGCUCCUCCUUCCUUAAUCUUUGUUCUCUAGUCCACUGAUGUCCCUUC
RNAcentral lists this microRNA precursor (150 nucleotides) under Marmota monax (woodchuck). Lineage: Eukaryota; Metazoa; Chordata; Mammalia; Rodentia; Sciuridae. The record is from RNAcentral.